This 415-nucleotide ribosomal RNA is filed under the name uncultured eukaryote. RNAcentral describes it as "bacterial SSU rRNA". It matches the Rfam family "Eukaryotic small subunit ribosomal RNA", at positions 592 to 1018 of the family's 1831-position model. The record is from RNAcentral.
CAAUAGCGUAUAUUAAAGUUGUUGCAGUUAAAAAGCUCGUAGUUGAAUUUCUGGUCAAUUUUAGUUUCGGCUUCGGUCGGUCUAAGGUUGGCCAUCCGUCUGCAAGCUAUUCUCGUCCUUCACUGUGUCGGUUUAGCGAGCUGACAUUUUACUUUGAAAAAAUUAAGAGUGUUCAAAGCAGGCCUAUGCUCUGAAUAGGUUAGCAUGGAAUAAUAAAAUAGGACUUUGGUUCUAUUUUGUUGGUUUCUAGGACCGAAGUAAUGAUUAAUAGGGACAGUUGGGGGCAUUCAUAUUCCAAUGUCAGAGGUGAAAUUCUUGGAUUAUCGGAAGAUGAACUUCUGCGAAAGCAUCUGCCAAGGAUGUUUUCAUUGAUCAAGAACGAAAGUUAGGGGAGUCGAAGACGAUUAGAUACCGU